GGUUCACGAGCGGGUAUGACGGUGGCUCUGUCUAAGCUGAACCGGCCUUGGCCUUCAUUUCCUUCUAGCUCAUGCCCAGCCUGGCUGCCUGCUGCGCCACCACUGGAGAGGGGCACUGGAGGGCAGAACUGAGAAUUUUUUUUGGCUGUGAUGCUACUGAAUCAAAAAUGAAUUUGGAGAGAAAGUCUUCAUUGAUUUGUUCCGAAUCCAAUUAUUUGGUUCAAACUGGAAGCUGAGUCACGUGUAAGGGAGAGUCCCAUGUCUAACUCGAGAGAAAGGUGAAGCUUCUGUGAUCCAGUGCCAUCAGAAGCAAAGGAAGAGCCUUGGCAAGGAGGUGACAGCAUCGUUCAGCCUUUCAGGAGGGGAGCCAGCAAAAAUGGGGUGAUUGUGGUUGAUUUAAGGGGUAAAAGUUGAGAGGCAGAGGACAACCAAGGUUGAAAGGGCUUCUCUGAGAGGCCCUUUUGUUCCUGGGCAAGACGUCGCUACCGCUGGGUUCAAGGGGAGAGGGAAGGAUGAUGGAUUGCCAAUGAACCUACGAAGAAUGAGGCAAAGCAGCAUGAAACCAUUUGUUUGGGCUUUAUAGAUUUUCUAAUAAAAACGUCAAGUUUUUUUCACA
Molecule: long non-coding RNA, 616 nt
Organism: Bubalus bubalis (water buffalo)
Lineage: Eukaryota; Metazoa; Chordata; Mammalia; Artiodactyla; Bovidae
Exons: 2
Source: RefSeq, a predicted model, not a curated record